CCUACGGGGGGCAGCAGUGAGGAAUAUUGGUCAAUGGACGAGAGUCUGAACCAGCCAAGUAGCGUGAAGGAUGACUGCCCUAUGGGUUGUAAACUUCUUUUAUAUGGGAAUAAAACGUUCCACGUGUGGGAUUUUGUAUGUACCAUAUGAAUAAGGAUCGGCUAACUCCGUGCCAGCAGCCGCGGUAAUACGGAGGAUCCGAGCGUUAUCCGGAUUUAUUGGGUUUAAAGGGAGCGUAGGUGGAUUGUUAAGUCAGUUGUGAAAGUUUGCGGCUCAACCGUAAAUUUGCAGUUGAAACUGGCAGUCUUGAGUACAGUAGAGGUGAGCGGAAUUCGUGGUGUAGCGGUGAAAUGCUUAGAUAUCACGAAGAACUCCGAUUGCGAAGGCAGUUCACUGGACUGCAACUGACACUGAGGCUCGAAAGUGUGGGUAUCAAACAGGAUUAGAUACCCGAGUAGUC
This 460-nucleotide ribosomal RNA is filed under the name uncultured bacterium. RNAcentral's name for it is "partial 16S ribosomal RNA". It matches the Rfam family "Bacterial small subunit ribosomal RNA", at positions 338 to 795 of the family's 1533-position model. The record is from RNAcentral.